RNAcentral lists this ribosomal RNA (442 nucleotides) under Cyanobacteriota bacterium 1578_2PIIRGII. RNAcentral describes it as "bacterial SSU rRNA". It matches the Rfam family "Bacterial small subunit ribosomal RNA", at positions 338 to 795 of the family's 1533-position model. Lineage: Bacteria; Bacillati; Cyanobacteriota. The record is from RNAcentral.
CCUACGGGAGGCAGCAGUGGGGAAUUUUCCGCAAUGGGCGAAAGCCUGACGGAGCAAUACCGCGUGAGGGAGGAAGGCUUUUGGGUCGUAAACCUCUUUUAUUGGGGAAGAAGUUCUGACGGUACCCAAUGAAUCAGCAUCGGCUAACUCCGUGCCAGCAGCCGCGGUAAUACGGAGGAUGCAAGCGUUAUCCGGAAUUAUUGGGCGUAAAGCGUCCGCAGGUGGUUAAUCAAGUCUGCUGUUAAAGCGUCCAGCUUAACUGGAUAUAGGCAGUGGAAACUGAAUAACUAGAGUACGGUAGGGGUAGCGGGAAUUCCCAGUGUAGCGGUGAAAUGCGUAGAUAUUGGGAAGAACACCAGCGGCGAAAGCGCGCUACUGGGCCUGUACUGACACUGAGGGACGAAAGCUAGGGGAGCGAAAGGGAUUAGAUACCCUUGUAGUC